This 506-nucleotide ribosomal RNA is filed under the name uncultured bacterium. RNAcentral's name for it is "partial 16S ribosomal RNA". It matches the Rfam family "Bacterial small subunit ribosomal RNA", at positions 28 to 523 of the family's 1533-position model. The record is from RNAcentral.
GAUGAACGCUAGCGGCAGGCCUAACACAUGCAAGUCGAGGGGCAGCACAUAAAGUGGUUUACUACUUUUGGUGGCGACCGGCGGACGGGUGCGUAACGCGUAUGCAACCUGCCUCCAACAGGGGGAUAACGGAGAGAAAUUUCCACUAAUACCCCAUAAUAUCAGAAUCGGCAUCGGUUUUGGUUGAAAACUCCGGUGGUUGGAGAUGGGCAUGCGUUGUAUUAGAUAGUUGGUGAGGUAAUGGCUCAACAAGUCAACGAUGCAUAGGGGGACUGGGAGGUUAGCCCCCCACACUGGUACUGAGACACGGACCAGACGCCUACGGGAGGCAGCAGUGAGGAAUAUUGGUCAAUGGGGGCAACCCUGAACCAGCCAUGCCGCGUGCAGGAAGACGGCUCUAUGAGUUGUAAACUGCUUUUACAAGGGGAUAAAUCGGUGUACGUGUACACCGUUGAAGGUACCUUGGGAAUAAGGAUCGGCUAACUCCGUGCCAGCAGCCGCAGUAA